GGUCGGUUCGUCUAGAGGCCUAGGACACCGCUCUUUCAAGGCGGUAACACGGGUUCGAAUCCCGUACCGACUACCA
RNAcentral lists this transfer RNA (76 nucleotides) under Pseudomonadota bacterium. RNAcentral's name for it is "tRNA-Glu". It matches the Rfam family "tRNA". Rfam says of the family: Transfer RNA (tRNA) molecules are approximately 80 nucleotides in length. Their secondary structure includes four short double-helical elements and three loops (D, anti-codon, and T loops). Lineage: Bacteria; Pseudomonadati; Pseudomonadota. The record is from RNAcentral. RNAcentral also lists the same sequence under 2 other names.